RNAcentral lists this long non-coding RNA (363 nucleotides) under Homo sapiens (human). RNAcentral's name for it is "non-protein coding lnc-SLC20A1-3:1". Lineage: Eukaryota; Metazoa; Chordata; Mammalia; Primates; Hominidae. The record is from RNAcentral.
AGACUAGUGUUCAAAGGACAUCAGUACAAGGAAAGCAAAAAUGAGUGGGAGGCAAUGUGUAGCUAAGUUUUGUUUAAAAGUUCUCAGUAUGGGAUUCUUCAGUUCUGACCCAUUAUAUUUUUGCCCCUGAUCAGAAGUUAAUGAAAAGUACAUUUCUUGGCAAACUAGAUUGAUAGUUCCUGUCCUGAGGGUUUGGAACAAUACUUUUGAAUUUUGAGUUUAUUUGGAGCGUUUCACUAGAAACCAACACUAAGAAUCGAACAGGGUAAGGCAGUGCCUAGUCUAACCUGUGCCUGCAAGGUUAGGCCACUGGCUGGGUACAUGCCGUUGCAUCCUGCUGUCAGUUUAAUGGUCUUGCAGAAG